UACGUAGGGUGCAAGCGUUAAUCGGAAUUACUGGGCGUAAAGCGUGCGCAGGCGGUGAUGUAAGACAGGUGUGAAAUCCCCGGGCUUAACCUGGGAACUGCAUUUGUGACUGCAUCGCUGGAGUGCGGCAGAGGGGGAUGGAAUUCCGCGUGUAGCAGUGAAAUGCGUAGAUAUGCGGAGGAACACCGAUGGCGAAGGCAAUCCCCUGGGCCUGCACUGACGCUCAGUCGCACGAAAGCGUGGGGAGCAAACAGG
This 255-nucleotide ribosomal RNA is filed under the name uncultured bacterium. Its description in RNAcentral is "partial 16S ribosomal RNA". It matches the Rfam family "Bacterial small subunit ribosomal RNA", at positions 524 to 776 of the family's 1533-position model. The record is from RNAcentral.